RNAcentral lists this ribosomal RNA (582 nucleotides) under Tetra pinnatifidae. RNAcentral's name for it is "partial 28S ribosomal RNA". Lineage: Eukaryota; Metazoa; Arthropoda; Arachnida; Trombidiformes; Eriophyidae. The record is from RNAcentral.
AAAUAGAACUUUGCAGAGAGAGUUAACAGGGCGUGAAACCGUUGAUUGGCAAACGAAUCGGAGCCACGAAGUCGUUUCGUUGUUAGUUGGGCGGAGUUCAGUUCGCGCCGAAAGACGCGGGCGUACUCUCACGCUCAUCCAACCUUGUAAGCGUACACUGCAACUUGUUAGACGAUCAGCUGUGGGCUGAGUGACGCAGAGCGAGCAAUCGCGCUGCGGCACGCAUUGUCUGUUCGCUCGCGGUAGUAGUAGCGCAGCUGACUUCGGUCUUUUUGUGUUGCUGGCCGCGUGGCGGGUGAACUACAGCUGAAUACUGACAAGCGAAAUGAAAACCGUUGAAAAACGUUAGAGAAAAAGCGGUUGGUCACAUGGAUGUUUACACGUUCGACUGUUAGGUCUAAGCUUGGCAUUUUUGAAUUCAGACCUGCUUGCUACCAGUGAGGCAACUCCUGGUGCUUGUACGGCUUCUGUCUAAUCGGGUGUCGACUUGGCUUGGAAUCGUUCGGGCGUGAAACGAUUGAGCGUUCAUAUGAACUAAUCCGCAAUUUAAAUUGGCAGUGAGUAGGUCGGCUUUCCGAACGA